Molecule: ribosomal RNA, 490 nt
Filed under: uncultured bacterium
Lineage: Bacteria
Description: bacterial SSU rRNA
Rfam family: Bacterial small subunit ribosomal RNA
Source: RNAcentral
GACGAACGCUGGCGGCGUGCUUAAUACAUGCAAGUCAACUGAACUUAAGAUAGCAAUAUUUUAAGGGAGGUGGCGCACGGGUGAGUAACACGUAGGUAAUCUGCCUUUAGGUCUGACACAACCCCGAGAAAUCGGGGCUAAUAUCAGAUGAUGUAGCGGCUCGACAUCGAGACAGUUGUUAAACCUUCGGGGCCUAAAGAUGAGCCUGCGUCUGAUUAGGUAGUUGGCGGAGUAAAAGCCCACCAAGCCUGCGAUCAGUAGCUGGUCUGAGAGGAUGAUCAGCCACACUGGAACUGAGACACGGUCCAGACUCCUACGGGAGGCAGCAGUAAGGAAUAUUGCUCAAUGGCCGAAAGGCUGAAGCAGCAACGCCGCGUGGAGGAUGAGAUACUUUUGUAUGUAAACUCCUGUAAGAAGGGAAAAUAUUCCGAUUUAUCGGGAUUGAUUGUACCUUCAGAGUAAGCCCCGGCUAACUACGUGCCAGCAGCCG